GCCCACUGCUUAGCCAUGCUCCUGCUACUCAUCCCUGUGCUGGAGGUGAUUUUUGCCCUGAGAGGAACCAGAGCGCAGUCAGCGACCCAGCCUGAUGGCCAGGUCACUGUCGCUGAAGGAGCCCCACUAGAGCUGAGAUGCAAAUAUUCAUCUUCUGGUUCGCCUUACCUCUACUGGUACCUGCAGGACCCCAACCAAGGACUCCAGCUUGUCCUCAGGUACUUUUCAGGGAACACCCUGGUUAAAGGCAUAAACGAUUUUGAAGCUGAAUUUAGGAAGGAUGAAACCUCUUUCAACCUGAAGAAACACUCAGCCCACUGGAGCGACUCUGCUGUGUACUUCUGUGCUGUGAGUGACAUCUUGGCCUCUAACCGC
This is a non-coding RNA of Myotis daubentonii (Daubenton's bat), 375 nucleotides long. NCBI's taxonomy places the organism in Eukaryota, Metazoa, Chordata, Mammalia, Chiroptera, Vespertilionidae. The record is from the annotation of a RefSeq genome assembly.